RNAcentral lists this unclassified non-coding RNA (346 nucleotides) under soil metagenome. RNAcentral's name for it is "partial contains 5.8S ribosomal RNA, internal transcribed spacer 2, and large subunit ribosomal RNA". The stretch from base 1 to 119 matches the Rfam family "5.8S ribosomal RNA", at positions 35 to 154 of the family's 154-position model. The record is from RNAcentral.
GAUGAAGAACGUAGCGAAAUGCGAUACGUAAUGUGAAUUGCAAAUUCAGUGAAUCAUCGAGUCUUUAAACGCACAUUGCGCCCCCUGGUAUUCCGGGGGGCAUGCCUGUCCGAGCGUCAUUGCUGCCCUCAAGCACGGCUUGUGUGUUGGGCCCCGUCCUCCGAUCCCGGGGGACGGGCCCGAAAGGCAGCGGCGGCACCGCGUCCGGUCCUCGAGCGUAUGGGGCUUUGUCACCCGCUCUGUAGGCCCGGCCGGCGCUUGCCGAUCAACCCAAAUUUUUUAUCCAGGUUGACCUCGGAUCAGGUAGGGAUACCCGCUGAACUUAAGCAUAUCAAUAAGCGGAGGA